AGGAAAAGAAACUAACAAGGAUUCCCCUAGUAACGGCGAGUGAACCGGGAAGAGCUCAAAUUUGAAAUCUGGCGUCCUCAGGGCGUCCGAGUUGUAAUCUAUAGAGGCGUUUUCCGUGCCGGACCGUGUCCAAGUUCCUUGGAACAGGAUAUCAAAGAGGGUGACAAUCCCGUACUUGACACGACGACCGGUGCUCUGUGAUACGUCUUCUACGAGUCGAGUUGUUUGGGAAUGCAGCUCAAAAUGGGUGGUGAGUUCCAUCUAAAGCUAAAUAUUGGCGAGAGACCGAUAGCGAACAAGUACCGUGAGGGAAAGAUGAAAAGCACUUUGGAAAGAGAGUUAAACAGUACGUGAAAUUGUUGAAAGGGAAACGAUUGAAGUCAGUCGUGACCGAGAGGCUCAGCCGGUUCUGCCGGUGUAUUCCCCUCGGUCGGGUCAACAUCAGUUUUGUCCGGUGGAUAAGGGCGGUAGGAAGGUGGCACCCUCGGGUGUGUUAUAGCCUGCCGUCGCAUACAUCGGGUGAGACUGAGGAACGCAGCUCGCCUUUAUGGCCGGGGUUCGCCCACGUCCGAGCUUAGGAUGUUGACA
This 588-nucleotide ribosomal RNA is filed under the name Papiliotrema laurentii. RNAcentral describes it as "LSU rRNA". It matches the Rfam family "Eukaryotic large subunit ribosomal RNA", at positions 54 to 631 of the family's 3401-position model. Lineage: Eukaryota; Fungi; Basidiomycota; Tremellomycetes; Tremellales; Rhynchogastremaceae. The record is from RNAcentral.